GCUAGUAAUCGCAGAUCAGCAUGCUGCGGUGAAUACGUUCCCGGGGCUUGUACACACCGCCCGUCAAACCAUGGGAGUUUGGAGCACCCGAAGUCAGUGGCCUAACCGAAAGGGAGGAGCUGCCGAAGGUGAGCCAGAUAACUGGGGUGAAGUCGUAACAAGGUAAC
RNAcentral lists this ribosomal RNA (167 nucleotides) under uncultured bacterium. RNAcentral describes it as "partial 16S ribosomal RNA". It matches the Rfam family "Bacterial small subunit ribosomal RNA", at positions 1334 to 1500 of the family's 1533-position model. The record is from RNAcentral.